UCAUCUAAGCAAUGGCGUCCGGAUGUAUCAGAUUUCUCGAUGAAUUGCCAAUUCAAUUGGCAGUAUAACGGUAACGGUACCAAUUUACUUUACAAUUUUUUAAUAUGUAUACGGUGUGACCGUUGGACCGAGCGAAGAAUGUAAUGGUCAUUGGAGUGUCCGAAGUGGUAUACUUACCAAUACCUAAGGGUAUGAAUGCCAUCAUAUCUCUAUGCCACUUCUGUGAAGUACAUGGACCACAGGUUCUCUUCUGUACCCAGCCUCGUCAUCCCUUGGAACGAACAACAUCAACAGACUCAGAUGACACUGUAACUGGUGGGCGAUUCGGCCGAUCUUCAUCCAUCACAAAUGAGCCUACUACCCCCACCUCAGCCACACCCAAAAAUGACUUUUGUGGGGGCUGUUCUUCUGUGAGGACAGGAUUUAUAAGUCGAGAUGAAGAUGCGCAAGUGAACUACAUCAGUAGUAAACAACCUUAUGACAGGGAAGUUUACAGUAUGAGUAGACAGGCCUGCUUGCGAUCACUAACAGGGGAGGUAUGUCCUGGAAAAGAUGGUCCAAUAUUCUUUGGAAAUGACCAGCAGGGUCAUGUUCUCAGUUACACAUUUCACAUAAAUGAUAGUCAAGCUCGUGGAUUCAGCCAGCGUUACAGCAUCCUAGUGGUCAUGAUGGACAAAAUAUACCUGCUCAAUUCAUGGCCAUUUCUUGUUCCUCAUCUAAAAACUGUCAUAGAACACAUCACAAAGAAAACUCAUGUUGUGUACGAGAGGGAGAAGGCCAAAAUGCCCCAUCCUCCUCCUCAAGCUUCACGUUGGAGUAAGCCUGCAAGGUCACUAAUGGAUUUGACAGAGGAUAGGAACAUAUUUAAAACCCUGCACUUAUCAUUUGUGUGGAUUCUGAAGGCUUGUGGAAACCGAAUAACUGAGACAUUGCUUGAAGGACCCCCCACUGAGGACUCCAUUAUUGAUAUGGAGAAACAAGAAGAGACAGAGGAAGGUUUCUGCCUGAUUUUUAGUAAGAAGGUGAAUGUAGAGGAAGUGGAAGAGAGUGCAGCCAAUAAAGAGGAUACAUCAGAAAAUCUGGACGUAGAGGAAGGAGAGGGGCCUAUUAUAUCAAACAUCAGACAGCUCAUGAAGAUAUUAGACGAAGAUAAAUUCCAUGUGCUGGCACAUCAUGUUGUCAUUGGCAACCAGAUCAUAGUUCGCAGUUGUUUGAAGUCGGUAGUUAAAUCCGUCCUAAGUGUGCUCAAGAGCCUACUUCCCAAAGGUUGUUGCCGAGUAAUUCCCUACAGUCAUGUGUAUGAAGAAUCCUGGAAGUGUAACUUUUUGGGUCUUGCACCUGAGGUAGAUCUCCCUAUGCAUAUAAUGUCAGACGAAACAUUUGUGUUGGUUGAAGUCAGUCUUGAUGAACCAAAACCAACAGACACACAGUUGGAAGAGGAUACUGAUAAACUUCUCAAAAGACUACUUUUCAACUUGGCCAGUCCUAGAAAAUUACCUGACAAAGACAAUUCAUAAGUCUUCGAAGAGAGCCAGAUGAAAUUAAGAAGAAGUUCUUCAAUCUGAGGCAGAGAGCAAAGGAGAAGAUUGAUUUUAUCAAGAGGGCACUGGAGGAGGUCCUGCUCUACCACCCUUGACAGCUGGGGAGGAAGCUGUGGCACUAUCCCUUCAGAAUAGACCAGUGGCAGGUGGAAUUGAUGGAGGGAUAGAUACUGAUGAAGCCCCUAGUACAUCUGCAGACAAUGUUGAGCCUCCUGCAGCUGAGCCUCCUGCAACUGAGCCCCCUGCAGCUGCAGCAACAUUUGAUGAGACAGUGCAUGCAGAGUGUGACCUGAGGUCUGCCAGGAAGAAGCUAAAAAAUCAGACGCAAAGGAGCAACAGAGGGCCCUGUUAGAGAACAUCAGGCUGGACAACAGGUGUCUGGAGUUGGAAAUCACAAAAUUGCAGAAUGAGUCAGAGAAACUUAUAGUGGAGACAAAUUUUUAUAAAACAAAGACUUUGUACAUUCAGAAAAAGAUGCAGAAUGAGUUUCAAAUGUCAAUAGAGUCAUAAGUAUUUAAUAUUUCCAACUUCCUUCUUUGUUAUACAUUCUUUGGUUGAUUUUAUACCUGCUAAAUCAGUACAUGAAACUAUUAACUACUUAGAAAGUUUAGAAUUCCUUCACAAGAAAUAUCAAAAAUCAUAAAUUUAUUACCAUUUCCUGGGGUGUUUUUUAAUUUUAAAAAUUGUUGUCCAUCCUGAUGUUCCCUCCUCCAAUGUCAUGUCUAAUACUGCAAUUUCUGUGAUUGUCUGAUAUUUUUAAAGUUAAAAUUUUCUUUUAUAAUUAUGAAUUCAAAUAUGUUAUUUGAAAAAAAAUAUUACUUAGAUUAAAUUAGACAAAAGUUGUCUUUACUAUGAAGUAUAUGUACCACCUUAAAAAGUUUUUUUUCCGCAAAUUAGUUGUACACAGAUUAUUUGAAAUCAUAAUUGUCAUUACACUAGCAUAUACAUGUAUGUAAAUAUUUAUAGAAUGUGUACAGAACUUUCCAAUUUCUUUAUGUAAAUUUCCUCUCUUUUUAUACAAAACUAGACUGUAGAAAAUGUAACUGUCUUUGAGUUUUUAAAGUAGAUGCACAUGUGUUUACUAUUCUAUAAUGCAUUUGCUGAAUAUCUAGUUUUUAAGCAUUUUGUAAAAGUGAUUUAAAUCAUCAUGCAUUUCUACAUAAUGAGAAAUGUAUAUCAGUGUAAGUGUACAUUUUUUAAAUUAUGAAUUAUAUCAGAUUGAAAUGUAGAGGUUUAUGUAUGUGUGAUUGUUAGAGAGUUCGAGUAGUAUUCAAGUAUUUUUACUUUAUAUAUUUUUUUUUUGUAUGAUAAGUAAUAUUACAAAUACUUGUCACACAGAUGUCUGAUAUAAGUUUAUUCAGUCUAUGAUUAUAUAAGUGAUUGUUGCAUACCAUAAAUGAAUUUAUCAAUAAUAUCACAUAUUAAGUUAAUAGCAAAAUCUAAGUUUAUCAAUAUAGUGCUGUUAAGGGGAAUAACUCUUGAUUGUAAACUACAUUGUAAGGUAGUUUUAAACAUUUUAUUGUAAUCUAUGUUGUGUGUGUGUGUGUGCGCGCACGCGCUAUUGGUCCCAGAUAUUAUUAUACCCCCCGCAACAAGUUGUGGGGGGGGUAUACUGGAAUCAGGUUGUCCGUCUGUCUGUCCGUCCGUCCGUCCGUCCGUCUGUAGACGCAAUGGUUUCCGGGCUCUAAAGCAUUAUCCUUUCCACCUACCGUCACCAUAUCAUAUAUAUGGACUACCCAUGGGAUGAAGAUGUUCCCUAUCGAUUUUGAGGUCAAAGGUCAAGCGCACUGGACAUGGAAGUAGCAAUAUGGUUUCCGGGCUCUAAAGCGUUAUCCUUUCCACCUACCGUCACCAUAUCAUACAUAUGGACUACCCAUGGGAUAAAGAUGUUCCCUAUUGAUUUUGGGGUCAAAAGGUCAAAGGUCAAGCGCACUGGACAUCGAAGUAGCAAUAUGGUUUCCGGGCUCUAAAGCGUUAUCCUUUCCACCUACAGUCACCAUAUCAUACAUAUGGACUACCCAUGGGAUGAAGAUGUUCCCUAUUGAUUUUGGGGUCAAAAGGUCAAAGGUCACGCGCACUGGACAUCGAAGUAGCAAUAUGGUUUCCAUUUAAAUUCUUUAAUGGCUUUUUUCAUUGCAUGGAGAUGCUGUGUUCCUAGAUACCUUUUGGAUCAUAAUACUGAAGUUUUACCUAUUACCAACACCCUUUGGGAGAUUGGGGUAAGCGGAGGGUAUUCUUAGUGAGCAUUGCUCACAGUACCUCUUGUUUUUGGGCUGAAAAUUUAUAAAACACCUGUGUUGAACCUAAUUAAUUUAAACAAUAUUUUGUUGUGUAUAAUACAUAAAAGGAUUGGACAACAGGUGUUGCCUAUAUAAGCCCUCUCCAUACAAAUACAUGGUCAAGGUCAUACAGAUAUAGUUAUUAUGUAAUGAUAAUGAAGCAAUAUAAUAUUUUAAAAUACAUUUAUAUAUGUUUAACAGUUUCCAUUUCUCUGAUAAUUUACAGCUUGAUGUAUGAAUGACAAAUAUAAGUUAUGUAUGGGUAUAGAAAUUUACUUCACAGGAAAAAGAUAUAAACAAGUUGGUUCUGUGGUUUGAGAAUGAAACAUUUUAAGAAAUUAAACAAAUCUAUUUGUAGACAAAUAAAUAAAUUCAUGCACAAUUUUGAAAAUUGUAACAUUUUGGUUAUAACUGAGAUUAUUGUCACCAUACAAAAUAGGUUCUAAGGAUAAAGGUAAUUGUAAUUUUAGAUCAUUAAAACUUUGUAUCAGUAUUUGUCUUUGUGUACAAUAUUUUGGACACUUCAGAAAAAAGUGAAGUGUGGUUUCAGGACUAUUUUGACACAAGUCACAAUUAGGAUUUUCCCUAAUAAAGUGCUUAAAUAAUUUAAAAGCUGUAAAUAUGUUUAUAAUGAUGUAGCAAUUCAAUGAUGUUUGAAAUUUUGAAACAAGAUAUAACAUAAAUUGAUUUGAAGCCUCCAAAUGAACUGACAUUCAUAAAUACAAACUUCCUUAGGGCUGACAGUAACUUUUAAAAAAAAUUGGUAACAGUGUGUUGUCUCAUGGCAAUACCAUCAUUCCUACCAUGGAUUUGACCCAUCAUACCAUCACCAUCCACAGGCCGCAAGUUUCCAUCGUCGUUUUGUAGGAUAUCACCUCUCUCCAUACCAAUGUUAUGGAGGACCACACACGCUACUACAAAAACGGCUGCCUGUGGAGGCUCUGUCAAAAUUUCAUGGUGAAGAGCCUGAAACCUUUUCUUUAGGACACCAAAAGUCUGUUCUAUUAGAACCCUUGUUCGGCAGAGUGCAUCAUUGAAAGCAGUUUCUGCUGGGGUUGAUGGAUUCAGAAAUGGUGUCAUAAGAAAUCGCCGGCAGGGGUAGCCAGAAUCACCCA
This is an RNA transcript of Ostrea edulis (European flat oyster), 4935 nucleotides long. It is a transcript of the gene named folliculin-like, with no coding region annotated. The record is from RefSeq and is a predicted model, not a curated record. The transcript has 11 exons. Lineage: Eukaryota; Metazoa; Mollusca; Bivalvia; Ostreida; Ostreidae.